UAAUUAUAGUUAGAGUUAAUUUGAACCGUUGGAUUGCUUCAAAUUAAUCCAUGCCAUCCAUUCCUUGUUAGGUUUCUCCCAGUCUAGUUUCAUUUCUGAUUUCUCACUCAGCCUUCCAACACCGACAGCCUUCCUUCGAAUCGUCUCUGACUCUCCAGCCGCCCAGCCUUCCUUCACGAAUCACCACCCAGCCACCGCCACGCCAAAGCAUCAAAGACUGAACUCUCCAGCCUUCCUUCACGAAUCGUCUCCGACUCUUGCGAUCUCUCUCUCACGGACAGAACUCUCGAUCUAGCACCGAGUCCGAGUCUCACUCUCACCCCAAAUUAGGGAGAAGUGUUAGCAGGUUUAGCACUGCUGUAGCAACUGAGGAGUUAAUCAUUUCACCUGUUCAAACUUCAAAUUAGUCACACGCUGCGUCAGUUUUGAAGGAUAGUGACUCAUCAGCUAUUUACUUGUACUGCCACUAUAAAGUACUUUUGGGCUGAUUAGUUGGCUGGUCUAUACCACUUGGCCCUUGGGUAGGUGAGCAAGUGGUGCAAAUGAUCUGCACGAAAUUUUAAGCCCAGAAAAGCCUUGGUCUGCUGGUGAGUUCUCCAGCCGAUUUGGGGGUUUCGUUAUCUUUCAUUAGAGUGGACGGAUACCUGAAGUAGCUUUGAUGGCACGAUCUUACCUACCAAGCAAAAGUUUCAGAGAUAGUUUCAAUUUGGAGAAAUGACCUGAACAAGGUCAAUAAAAAAGCUCCAGAAUCAUUGGCCGAUCCGCAAGAGUGUCCUAAUUUGUUUGAGGACUGGCAGGUUUCUCUUGCCCUUGAGUCUAAAGAUGCAGAAAAUAGGUAGUGCUGAUGUACUGAUUUUCUGGGAUUUUUUUUGUCCUUGUAGGAUUUUUGGUCUUUGAAAUGGGUCUCCACCCCACAUUUCACAAGUUCCAUAGAAGUUGGUUGUGCAGAUUGUGUCUGCAAUUAGAUCAGAGGUCAACCACACUUUUGUUAUCAUGCGGAAGAUUGCUUUUGGGAAGGAUCUGAAGCAGUUCCUAUGUUUAUUGCCAUGUAGCUCUGUCUUUUCUAAUUGAUGGUGUUCAUGUUGCACUGCGAUUCAUGAUGAUGAUUUAAUUGUUUCUCGAUUUGUAAUUGUUUGUAAAUAAUGUGGCGUAUCUGAAUUGCAAUCUGUGUUUUGUAUGAAAGGGAUGGCAUAUCAUGUUGCUGACUUAAUUGUUUAUGUUUUUCAUAUUUGCGAUGGUGUUAUGAUCGAUUAGGGAUAGGAGAAACAAAGAGGAUGACACUUAUAACUGCCCCUCCCCAUCGGCCUUCUUCAAAUUUGGAUCACAAGAAGGGAGCAACAUAGGGUGGAUCACACACUUCCUCCUUACUUAGAGCAAGAGGAGAUGACGGUUUGUAUAAAAAGAAAAACUUACCAGGGUUGGCUUCAUUUCAUUCCAGUAACUCUCUAAAUAGGUCCAAGAACUCACUAAAUAGAAAUCCUCAACUGUUGGAUUCUGUUGAGAUGGGCAGAAUUUGGUGGUGUCUUCAUCGUCGAUUGACACCUGGACUGCAACAUCAUCUUCACUCACCCCAGCGUCAGCAGAUUCCACCUCCAAAUCCUCUCCGAUCCUUAUUCCCAAAAGCUCUCCCUCUGAUUUGUCAUCAGUUUUCCAACAAUUCCGGUCAGGUCAGCGUUGAUGUUGGUCUUAAACUAUUCCUCAGCGCCUCAGGUGCCUUCUAUUUCAUGUUUAUAGUGUUUGCUUGAUAAAGACGGAGAAUAGCACUGUCCAAAUGAAUAGGAAGACCUCAAAAACUCCUUGAUGUGUUGCUUUCCUUAAUGUAUAAAGACGGAAAAAGAGGGGCAAGUUGCGAAAAGACAAAAAAAAAAAAAAAAAAAAAAAAAAAAAAAACCAGAGAUUGGGCAAGUGGAGAUGGCAAUUGUUGUGGUUCAUACAAUCCCUCCUUUUUAUUUAGAGCAAGUGGAGAUGGCUGUUUGAAUAAAAAGAAGAAUUUGGCCAGGGCGUUUGCCACGGAGGUUAUGCAGCUCUGCAGACAGUCACACAGUGGAACUUGGAUUACACAAAGCACAGCAAGCAGGUUGAUAGGAAUGGGAAGUGAUUCUGGUGAACAGAGGUCUAGAGUUCAGGUUUGUGCUAAUCUCUCACUCUUCCUCUCUCCUUCUCUACUGGAAAAUCCAUAGUCUUUCAUCUUCCUCGGCUCUUCCUUUCUCUCCGCUCCCCAUUUCUCUCUCCUUGGAGCCUACAAACCAAGUAGUGAUGGUCGACAAGCUUCAAAUAUGCUGGACGCGUACUGGAGAAGGGACAGUUCUGUCCGUUGCAGAGAGAGAGGGGGGAGUAUGGGGGUAGGGGAGAGGAUUUCGGCAGGGAGAUAUGGGUUUGGGGAGAAAGAGUAAGGGAGAAGUAUGGGGUAGGCUGAUUUCCAGGGAUUUCCUUUCACCCCUUCACUCACCACGAACCCACCUUUCUCUUCGUUUCUCCCACCCUCAAAUCUUCCGUUUUCCCUCUCACAAAAUACCCACCAAGGAAACCCUGCUUUUGGUUUAUUUUGGGAUUUUGUUUGCGCUCUCAAUUUCAAACGACGGGCCAAUUGGUUGAGAUUUGGAUUUCUCCCCUUUUUGUGGAAGCUCACAAAUUGUGUUUCGGUGGGAUCGGUCUCGAAUAGCUGCGUGUGUCUACUCUUUCCAAGGAAACAGUGCUUUUUGCUUUCUAGAACCGUUUGGAGAGUGCACGACUUGAGGAUCUCAGACCCAAGGUAAAAGGGGAGUUACAGAAGUCCCAGGCAGCAAUCUCUUUGUAAUCAUCGCCGGGAAAAUAUCGUGGUCAUUUUGAGUUUGGAUUUAGCCAGCACGUGGUCUGUGCAAGAUAUCCAUAUAUGGAUCAAUGCUAUGGACUCUUCUCAACCUAUGGACCUCAAAUUUCAGUGCGUCUUCCAUCAUUUCUCCUACCUCACUGUAUGUAGCUAUUACAUUUGCAAUCAUAUUAAUUCAUUGAAAACAAUAUUUAUAUUUCUCUGUAAAAUAUACUAUCAUUUCCUUGCUGGUACAUUAAAAUGGAAAUAUGAAAAGUAGAACCGAUCAUCGCUGGGUUCUCUC
Non-coding RNA from Malus domestica (apple), 3092 nucleotides. The record is from RefSeq and is a predicted model, not a curated record. NCBI's taxonomy places the organism in Eukaryota, Viridiplantae, Streptophyta, Magnoliopsida, Rosales, Rosaceae.